Molecule: ribosomal RNA, 252 nt
Filed under: uncultured bacterium
Lineage: Bacteria
Description: partial 16S ribosomal RNA
Rfam family: Bacterial small subunit ribosomal RNA
Source: RNAcentral
UACGGAGGAUGCGAGCGUUAUCCGGAAUUAUUGGGUUUAAAGGGUGCGUAGGCGGAUUUUUAAGUCAGCGGUAAAAUGUCCGGGCUCAACCCGGGCCGGCCGUUGAAACUGGGGAUCUUGAGUGGGCGAGAAGUAUGCGGAAUGCGUGGUGUAGCGGUGAAAUGCAUAGAUAUCACGCAGAACUCCGAUUGCGAAGGCAGCAUACCGGCGCCCGACUGACGCUGAGGCACGAAAGCGUGGGGAUCGAACAGG